AUUGAACGCUGGCGGCAGGCCUAACACAUGCAAGUCGAACGAGUGGCGGACGGGUGAGUAAUGUCUGGGAAACUGCCCGAUGGAGGGGGAUAACUACUGGAAACAGUAGCUAAUACCGCAUACCAUCGGAUGUGCCCAGAUGGGAUUAGCUGGUGGGUGGGGUAACGGCUCACCUAGGCGACGAUCCCUAGCUGGUCUGAGAGGAUGACCGGCCAAACUGGAACUGGGACACGGUCCAGACUCCUACGGGGGGCAGCAGUGGGGAAUAUUGGAAAAUGGGCGCAAGCCGGAGGCAGCCAUGCCGCGGGGAUGAAGAAGGCCUUCGGGUUGUAAAGUACUUUCAGCGGGGAGGCGUUACUCGCAGAAGAAGCACCGGCUAACUCCGUGCCAGCCGCCGCGGUAAUAC
RNAcentral lists this ribosomal RNA (406 nucleotides) under uncultured bacterium. Its description in RNAcentral is "partial 16S ribosomal RNA". It matches the Rfam family "Bacterial small subunit ribosomal RNA", at positions 29 to 526 of the family's 1533-position model. The record is from RNAcentral.